UGCCAUAUCUUCAAUACCUUCUGCAUUUACCUUUUCAUGAAACGGACAAAUCUCAUUUUCGCUGUUUUUGUUUAAAGGAUCUUCGAGCUAAAGAGAUGGAACUCCAAGCGAAGGAGAACGAAUUGAAGCGGAAAGAGCAGGUAAUUUCUGGUAAUCCAAGCAAAUCUCGAGACCUAAACAUUCCAUAUGCAUUGUAUUAAACGGUCUUCUUCUUCUCACUGUAAUGCAGGAGCUUAAAAGAAGAGAAGAUGCAAUAGCGCGAUGUAGAUAAUCUUAUAUAUAUAUAUAUAUCUGUUUUUUUUUUAAACAUCUUCGAAUGAUCUUUAUAGGUCUUUUAGCUAACCUGAUAUACGGUUGUUUUGGCAGCUGGAGUUGUCAUUGAGGAGAAGAAUUGGCCCGAGUUUUUCCCUCUAAU
RNAcentral lists this long non-coding RNA (415 nucleotides) under Eutrema salsugineum. RNAcentral's name for it is "long non-coding RNA (ESAL_LNC000668)". Lineage: Eukaryota; Viridiplantae; Streptophyta; Magnoliopsida; Brassicales; Brassicaceae. The record is from RNAcentral.